Molecule: unclassified non-coding RNA, 614 nt
Filed under: Cylindrospermum sp. 6D6
Lineage: Bacteria; Bacillati; Cyanobacteriota; Cyanophyceae; Nostocales; Nostocaceae
Description: 16S-23S ribosomal RNA intergenic spacer
Rfam family: tRNA (bases 278-350)
Source: RNAcentral
UAGGGAGACCUACCCACUCAGAUAUCGAAAACAAUCAGCGAUUAGAUAUUGAGUUGGUCAUCCUAAGGUCGGUCGCAAAUAGUUAUUGAUGGCUUUCAAACUAUGAUUGGUUCGUUUAGGGGCUAUUACCUCAUGUGGUUAGAGCGCACCCCUGAUAAGGGUGAGGUCCCUGGUUCGAGUCCAGGAUGGCCCACCUGAAUCAAUUAAAAGUCUAAAAUCUAAGCAUUAAAAAGUCAAAAAGUCUUUAUUUGCUAAUUUUUAAUUUUUAAUUGAUGAUGGGGGUUUAGCUCAGUUGGUAUAGCGCCUGCUUUGCAAGCAGGAUGUCAGCGGUUCAAGUCCGCUAACCUCCACCUAGUGUGACAGUCGCCAAGGUCAAUAAACACAGCUAAAAAUGGCAAAAUAGUGUUGCGAUUUCUCUAUUGGUGAUGUAGACACUAUCGUUGAAUGGAAAACCGAAAAUAAACUCAGCAACUAGGCUUAUGUGCCAGACUGCUGGGAGAGAAAACCAGCCAGAACCUUGAAAACUGCAUAGUGACGCGAAAAAAAUUGCAGGCAGACAUAGACAUAAGUUAUGUUCGUGGAUGCUUUAAAGUGAAACACCAAAAUGUUUGAGU